RNAcentral lists this ribosomal RNA (200 nucleotides) under uncultured bacterium. RNAcentral describes it as "partial 16S ribosomal RNA". It matches the Rfam family "Bacterial small subunit ribosomal RNA", at positions 668 to 864 of the family's 1533-position model. The record is from RNAcentral.
UCCUGGUGUAGCGGUGAAAUGCGCAGAUAUCAGGAGGAACACCGGUGGCGAAGGCGGGUCUCUGGGCCGAUACUGACGCUGAGGAGCGAAAGCGUGGGGAGCAAACAGGAUUAGAUACCCUGGUAAGUCCACGCCGUAAACGUUVGGCGCUAGGUGUGGGAUCCCUUCCACGGGUUCCGUGCCGCAGCUAACGCAUUAAG